Molecule: long non-coding RNA, 211 nt
Filed under: Lathyrus oleraceus (garden pea)
Lineage: Eukaryota; Viridiplantae; Streptophyta; Magnoliopsida; Fabales; Fabaceae
Description: Pisum sativum (pea) long non-coding RNA (PSAT_LNC021771)
Source: RNAcentral
UUGUAUUAGGUUGGUUUUUUUCUUAGAUUUUGGAUAAUUUUAUUGUAUUUUGGAUAAUCAGUUUGUGUUAAUCUGCUUGAGUUUGGAUAAUUCUACAUUAACUUGGUCUUCUUAUAAAGUUAAGGACAAUUUGGUGGUUGUUCCAUGUUUGGUGGAUAAUUUGUUUGCAUUUUGGAUGAUGUGAUAUUUCACUCUAUGAUGUUAUGGUUAC